UACAGAGGGUGCGAGCGUUAAUCGGAUUUACUGGGCGUAAAGGGUGCGUAGGCGGCUCUAUGAGUGUGAUGUGAAAGCCCUGGGCUCAACCUAGGAAGUGCAUCGCAAACGAUAGAGCUGGAGUAUGUGAGAGGGUGGCGGAAUUUCCGGUGUAGCGGUGAAAUGCGUAGAUAUCGGAAGGAACGUCGAUGGCGAAGGCAGCCACCUGGCACAAUACUGACGCUGAGGCACGAAAGCGUGGGGAUCAAACAGG
RNAcentral lists this ribosomal RNA (253 nucleotides) under uncultured bacterium. RNAcentral's name for it is "partial 16S ribosomal RNA". It matches the Rfam family "Bacterial small subunit ribosomal RNA", at positions 524 to 776 of the family's 1533-position model. The record is from RNAcentral. RNAcentral also lists the same sequence under 2 other names.